RNAcentral lists this ribosomal RNA (517 nucleotides) under uncultured bacterium. RNAcentral describes it as "bacterial SSU rRNA". It matches the Rfam family "Bacterial small subunit ribosomal RNA", at positions 28 to 526 of the family's 1533-position model. The record is from RNAcentral.
GACGAACGCUGGCGGCGUGCCUAAUACAUGCAAGUCGAGCGGACCAAAGGGAGCUUGCUCCUGGAGGUUAGCGGCGAACGGGUGAGUAACACGUGGGCAACCUGCCUGUAAGACUGGGAUAACAUCGAGAAAUCGGUGCUAAUACCGGAUAAUAAAAAGAACUGCAUGGUUCUUUUUUGAAAGAUGGUUUCGGCUAUCACUUACAGAUGGGCCGCGGCGCAUUAGCUAGUUGGUGAGGUAACGGCUCACCAAGGCGACGAUGCGUAGCCGACCUGAGAGGGUGAUCGGCCACACUGGGACUGAGACACGGCCCAGACUCCUACGGGAGGCAGCAGUAGGGAAUCUUCCGCAAUGGACGAAAGUCUGACGGAGCAACGCCGCGUGAGUGAUGAAGGUUUUCGGAUCGUAAAACUACUGUUGUUAGGGAAGAACAAGUAGCCGUUCGAAAGGGCGGCACCUUGACGGUACCUAACGAGAAAGCCACGGCUAACUACGUGCCAGCAGCCGCGGUAAAGUC